RNAcentral lists this ribosomal RNA (492 nucleotides) under uncultured bacterium. Its description in RNAcentral is "partial 16S ribosomal RNA". It matches the Rfam family "Bacterial small subunit ribosomal RNA", at positions 29 to 507 of the family's 1533-position model. The record is from RNAcentral.
AGUGAACGCUGGCGGUAGGCCUAACACAUGCCAGUCGAACGGCAGCACAGUAAGAGCUUGCUCUUACGGGUGGCGAGUGGCGGACGGGUGAGGAAUACAUCGGAAUCUACUUUUUCGUGGGGGAUAACGUAGGGAAACUUACGCUAAUACCGCAUACGACCUACGGGUGAAAGCAGGGGAUCUUCGGACCUUGCGCGAUUGAAUGAGCCGAUGUCGGAUUAGCUAGUUGGCGGGGUAAAGGCCCACCAAGGCGACGAUCCGUAGCUGGUCUGAGAGGAUGAUCGGCCACACUGGAACUGAGACACGGUCCAGACUCCUACGGGAGGGAGCAGUGGGGAAUAGUGGACAAUGGGCGGAAGCAUGAUCCAGCCAGACCGCGUGGGUGAAGGAGACCUUCGGGUUGUAAAGACCUUUUGUUGGGAAAGAAAAGCAGCAGGUUAAUACCACGCGGUUCUGACGGUACCCAAAGAAUAAGCACCGGCUAACUUCGUG